GAAACCUCAUCUUGCUCACGCGCCAUCCGGGCGCCAAGAGCGGUGUUUUCCCGAGGGAAAGCACGGGCACUCCGCCUGGGUGAGGAGAGAGU
Molecule: non-coding RNA, 92 nt
Submitted as: unclassified sequences
Source: Rfam